Molecule: ribosomal RNA, 468 nt
Filed under: uncultured bacterium
Lineage: Bacteria
Description: partial 16S ribosomal RNA
Rfam family: Bacterial small subunit ribosomal RNA
Source: RNAcentral
GACGAACGCUGGCGGCGUGCUUAACACAUGCAAGUCGAACGGAAAGGCCCGGCUUUUGUGGGGUGCUCGAGUGGCGAACGGGUGAGUAACACGUGGGUAACCUGCCUUUGACUUUGGGAUAACUUCAGGAAACUGGGGCUAAUACCGGAUAGGAUUUCCUGCUCCAUGGGGGGGGUUUGAAAGUUUGGUCGGUGGGGGCUGUACCCGCGGGGUACCCGCGUGUUGGUGGGGUAGUGGCUUACAAGGGCUUCGACGGGUAGCCGGCGUGAGAGGGUGACCGGCCACAUUGGGACUGAGAGACGGCCCAGACUCCUACGGGAGGCAGCAGGGGGGAAUAUUGCACAAUGGGCGGAAGCCUGAUGCAGCAACGCCGCGUGCGGGAUGACGGCCUUCGGGUUGUAAACCGCUUUCGCCUGUGACGAAGCGUGAGUGACGGUAAUGGGUAAAGAAGCACCGGCUAACUACGUG